Carcharodon carcharias (great white shark) is the source of this 307-nucleotide long non-coding RNA. RefSeq lists it as uncharacterized. Lineage: Eukaryota; Metazoa; Chordata; Chondrichthyes; Lamniformes; Lamnidae. The record is from RefSeq and is a predicted model, not a curated record. The transcript has 3 exons.
GAGCAGGAGCUCGGCCCUACGUCUGGAACCCCCCACACACACACACAAAAGAUGCAUUAAGAAUGCAAAAGGCGCCACAAUGUUAAAUGCAAUGUUACACAAGCCUGGCCUUAUUGCAAUCGCAUUCAAUGUAAAACAAAAGGAUUAUGAACAGCUGGAACAGGUUGGGAGAAGCUAGAGCCUGGAAUUAUUUAAGGAACAAAAUGUCAUAAUAGCAAGGACCACACCGCCGGCCAUCAUAACAUAGCUUAGAAAAUGCUGGAGAAAUGGGCAACCUAUUUGUCUACAAUCCCACCUCUGAUGAGGC